UGUCCUCUUCCGAUCGGGAAUGUCAAACGUAUGAGGUGAUCACCGUCUAUUACCACAAGAUUGUCGAUCUUAUCAUGAUGUCUCUCCUAAAGGGUGUGUGUCUCUUCAUGGUUGUUCAUUUUUAAUCUUGGGUUUAUGUUCAGAUUAAGGAGCCUCGGGCCUGCCCUGUAGCAAGUCUCCGAGAUCGUUCUGUUGUUUUGAGUAUUUUGAGAAUGGUGUGAUGUCAAAAAAUAAAUACGAAGGAAAUCCU
Molecule: long non-coding RNA, 250 nt
Organism: Rhodamnia argentea
Lineage: Eukaryota; Viridiplantae; Streptophyta; Magnoliopsida; Myrtales; Myrtaceae
Exons: 3
Source: RefSeq, a predicted model, not a curated record